UAUUUGUCCAUCUAGCAAAAGCAAGAAUCUCAUUCCAGGAUAUGAGAGGUAUUUUUCUGACUUGGAUUAGGGGAAUCCACUAGCUGCGUAGCGUUGAGACUUGAGAGCUUCGCCCUCUCAUUCUCAUGGAAGAUUCUCAGGUUUUAAUUGAAUGUUAACUAUACCACGGAUAGUAGAAGGGGACAUGAAACAUUGUUUUAAUUGGCUGUAUUUGGAGAAUGUAGAGGAAGAUUCUGUUGACUGGAGCACCAGGAAGCUUUGGAAUUGGAUACAAAAUAAGAAAAAGGAAAAAAAAAUGGUAGAAAGAUGCUUGUCCUUGGACAUUGUUUGAAGGCAAGGAAUGGAAUAAGGAAUACAUUCUCUUUUGUUUCCUUCAGUAAGUUUGGUACUUGUUCAGCCCACAUAGUAUAAAAUAGAAGCGGGGCCCAAUUCUUUUCAUCUUCAAUUGGCAUAAGACAGCCGGCACUGCACCGAUUAAUCCUAAGCAUCUGGGACCCAAUUAAAAGAAAAGAGAAGGAUUGUACUUGCUUCCAUACUAACAUUUGAUGAAGGAAAAGACAAUCCUUGCCCUGGACAUGACUACCUGCCCUUGACUGCUCCGUUGGCCAGUUUCUCCUGUAUGAAUCUACACUCAUAUUUCACCACUUGAUUAUUGAUUUAUGUUCUUUUAAUUUCAGUCUUUUCUAAUAUUUUUGUCAAGACUCUUAGCAUUGCUAUCUUUAUAACUUGUCACUGAAUGAUUAUAUGAACAGAUUAUCUCAUUCUUGUUAUAUUCUAUAA
Long non-coding RNA from Manihot esculenta (cassava), 780 nucleotides. RefSeq lists it as uncharacterized. The transcript has 2 exons. Lineage: Eukaryota; Viridiplantae; Streptophyta; Magnoliopsida; Malpighiales; Euphorbiaceae. The record is from RefSeq and is a predicted model, not a curated record.